AAUUUUACAAAAGUUGUAUCUUUCAAACUAAUCUAAUGAUUUAAACAUCUCAAUUUCAUCUCAAAAUUUACGUUAUAACCAAUACUAUUAAAACUAGUACCUAUCACCUAUCAAUAAAGAAACUAAAUUAAUACUUCUGCAACUAGCAACAAGUAUUGGCCAUCAUCACAUGGAUAUUUUGGAACAACAGAACAUAAAAGAGUGGAAGACCAAACACAUCACAAGACAUUACAUUAUACACCACACCUCCUAAUUAAUUAUGAAAAAAUUGUCUUGAUUAUUGUGAAAUAUCCCCGAGUUCAAUCACUGUCUCUCCUUCGUCUACAUAAAAUAGAGAACAUCAGAAUAUUAGUAUAUGAAAUCAAGUACCAUAUCAAAAUUGUCUAAAAUACAAGAAGAUGCCAUACCCUUGUACAUGUAGGGGAGUCUCACAUCCUAGCUCAAUUCCUAGAAUGCGAUUUAUAAUAUGUUGGACAAUAAUAACAA
This 486-nucleotide long non-coding RNA is filed under the name Vigna radiata. RNAcentral's name for it is "long non-coding RNA (VRAD_LNC001238)". The record is from RNAcentral. Lineage: Eukaryota; Viridiplantae; Streptophyta; Magnoliopsida; Fabales; Fabaceae.